ACGGUCCUAUAAAAUAUGUGAAGUCGGACCUGCCCAGUGAAUUUUUUAACGGCCGCGGUACUCUGACCGUGCAAAGGUAGCAUAAUCAUUUGCCUUAUAAUUGAAGGCUGGAAUGAAUGGUUUGACAAAAAUGCAACUGUCUCUUUAGGAUUAAAUAGAAUUUUAUUUUUGGAUGAAAAAGUCCUAAUAAAAUUAAAAGACAAGAAGACCCUAUCGAGCUUGAAAGAAAUUAACAAAUAUAUAUAUACUAAUCUGAAAAUCAAAUUGUUAAAAAUUUUGGUUGGGGCAACCAAGGAGUAAAUAAAGCCUCCUUUAUUAAAUAAAGACAUUACUAGUCCUGAUCCAAAAAUUUUGAUUAAAGGAAGUAGUUACCGUAGGGAUAACAGCAUUAUCUUUUUUAAGAGCUCUUAUCGAAAAAAAGGUUUGUGACCUCGAUGUUGGACCAGAAUAUCCUAAAGAUGCAGAAGUCUUUAAGGGUUGGUCUGUUCGACCAUUAAAAUUCUA
Molecule: ribosomal RNA, 504 nt
Filed under: Conus sp. c NP-2014
Lineage: Eukaryota; Metazoa; Mollusca; Gastropoda; Neogastropoda; Conidae
Description: partial 16S ribosomal RNA
Rfam family: Bacterial large subunit ribosomal RNA
Source: RNAcentral